CCCCACGAGGAUCCAACAACCUGUACGAGUAUGGCCGCUUCUCCGUCGCCAAGUCCCUCUCCAAUGCCAGGAAGUUCCUCCAUCUGAUCAACCGAUACCUCGCUCACAAGUCGAACCUGUCGCCGACUGCCUCGUUGGCCCUCCUCGACUGCCAGCUCCUGUCGGAGCUCAACAUCGACAUCCUCACCGCGGCUGAAACCACACUGAAUGACACCGACAAGCUCCUCGACCACCAAGCCGACAAGGUGCACACCCUGCUGUCAGCUCUGGUCACCAACCAGCACACCUGCUCCGACGGCCUGCAUGCGACGGAGUCGGCGUGGUCCAUCAAGAACGGCCUCUCCGUCCCUAUGCACAAUAGCACUAAGCUCUACGGCGUCUCCCUUGCACUCUUCAAGCGGGCCUGGGAGCCUCACAGGAAGAACAGGAACGUCAGCCACUCCAGAGUCCCACGUAGGAAGACACUGUUAUUCCACGAAGUCGCCGUCGGCCGCGACGGCGAGCUACCGCUGAGGAUGCCGGCCCAGAAAAGAGAGCUGUUCGAGAGGUGGAGCGGGCGGGGGCUCCUUCAGGCGACCGACGCCGUCCUGGUAAACGACGUCGUGCGGGUGAGCCAAGACGGCAGUGGGAACUUCGUGACGAUCACAGACGCGGUCAAGUCGGCCCCCGUUGACCACGACGAAAACACCGGCUACCACUUGAUAUACGUCGCCGCCGGGGUUUACGAAGAGUACGUCGUCAUCCCCAAGCAUAAGAAACACUUGAUGAUGAUCGGCGAUGGGAUCAACCAGACGGUGAUCACCGGCAACCAUAGCGUCGGUGAUGGCUGGACUACCUUCACCUCCUCGACCUUUGGUACGUGACCGCUUGGUUACCAUUCCCAAGAUAUGCUUUACCUGACACAAGUCUUUCACCUGUAGUCGCCCUCGGACAUGGAUUCGUGGCGAUCAACAUAACCUUCCGAAACGCGGCCGGGCCGGCCAAGUACCAAGCGGUCGCGGUCCUGAACAACGCAGAUAUGUCCACCUUCUACAGAUGCAGCUUCGAGGGCUACCAAGACACGCUCUACACCCACUCCAUGAGGCAGUUCUACAGGGAGUGCGACAUCUACGGCACAGUGGACUACAUAUUCGGCAACGCAGCGGUGGUGUUCCAGAACUGCAACGUCUACUCCCGGUUGCCCCUCCCUGGCCAGAUCAACACCAUCACCGCGCAAGGCCGGACCGACCCGAACCAGAACACCGGCACGUCGAUGCAGUCCUGCAACUUCCUCGACGCAGCUGAUCUGGCCGCCACGGCCCUCUGC
RNAcentral lists this long non-coding RNA (1306 nucleotides) under Musa acuminata (dwarf banana). RNAcentral's name for it is "long non-coding RNA (MACU_LNC004406)". Lineage: Eukaryota; Viridiplantae; Streptophyta; Magnoliopsida; Zingiberales; Musaceae. The record is from RNAcentral.